This 151-nucleotide small nuclear RNA is filed under the name Manihot esculenta (cassava). RNAcentral describes it as "U4 spliceosomal RNA". It matches the Rfam family "U4 spliceosomal RNA". From Rfam's summary of the family: U4 small nuclear RNA (U4 snRNA) is a component of the major U2-dependent spliceosome. The structure of U4 snRNA from yeast and human has been reported. U4 snRNA presents a k-turn RNA motif in the 5p-SL related to recognition of Snu13 protein. Lineage: Eukaryota; Viridiplantae; Streptophyta; Magnoliopsida; Malpighiales; Euphorbiaceae. The record is from Rfam by way of RNAcentral.
AUCUUUGCGCUUGGGGCAAUGACGCAGCUAAUGAGGUUCUAACCGAGGCGCGUCUAUUGCUGGUUGAAAACUAUUUCCAAACCCCCUCUUCGGCCUGGGCUUGACCCUGGCCGUUGAGAAUUUCUGGAAGGGCUCCCUUCGGGGUAAAGCC